Molecule: ribosomal RNA, 416 nt
Filed under: uncultured bacterium
Lineage: Bacteria
Description: bacterial SSU rRNA
Rfam family: Bacterial small subunit ribosomal RNA
Source: RNAcentral
GGCAUAUUGGUCAAUGGAUGGAAGUCUGAACCAGCCAUGCCGCGUGCAGGAAGAAGGCCUUCUGGGUUGUAAACUGCUUUUGCCAGGGGAUAAAAAUCCCAUGCGUGGAAGAUUGAAGGUACCUGGUGAAUAAGCCACAGCUAACUACGUGCCAGCAGCCGCGGUAAUACGUACGUUGCAAGCGUUGUCCGGAUUGAUUGGGUUUAAAGGGUGCGUAGGGGGCUUUGUAAGUCAGUGGUGAAAUAUCGCAGCUUAACUGUGAGGGUGCCAUUGAUACUGCAGAGCUUGAGUACAGAUGAGGUAGGCGGAAUUGACGGUGUAGCGGUGAAAUGCUUAGAUAUCGUCAAGAACACCUAUAGCGAAGGCAGCUUACUAGGCUGUAACUGACGCUGAGGCACGAAAGUGUGGGGAUCAAA